AAGGGAGACCUAAUUCCGGUAGGGGACGAAAAAAAAGUAGUCCCAACCAAGAAUCAAUCCCAAAAGGUCGGAACGAGGUAUGAGGCUUUCAAACUAGGUUCUGGGUUCAUAAAAGACCUGAAUCAGGAACAAGGGCUAUUAGCUCAGGUGGUUAGAGCGCACCCCUGAUAAGGGUGAGGUCCCUGGUUCGAGUCCAGGAUGGCCCACCUGCACAGGUGGCAAAAACAAGAGAAGCUCCGAAUCAGCACCUUAUCUUAUAUACAUAUAUAAGAGAGAAUGCUGGCUCUGAGUACAGAGUCCAGAGGAACCUUGAAAACUGCAUAGAGCUAGGUGAAAAAGCCAAAAAAGAAGACCGCAA
This 358-nucleotide transfer RNA is filed under the name uncultured Microcystis sp. RNAcentral's name for it is "partial 16S-23S ribosomal RNA intergenic spacer". The stretch from base 133 to 206 matches the Rfam family "tRNA". The record is from RNAcentral. Lineage: Bacteria; Bacillati; Cyanobacteriota; Cyanophyceae; Chroococcales; Microcystaceae.